CCCUAUUAUUUUUGUUUUCCUGCAAGUAGUAAAUGUUAAGGUCAGGAAACUUAAAGAAUUUGGCGGUGUUUAUUCGUAAUAGAGGAAUAUGUUUUUGGAAUGAUAAUCCCCAAAUAUUUUACUUAAUUUUUUAUAUUUAGUAUACUUCCGUUAAAAAAUUUUUUAUAAAUAAGUUUUAUUAAUUUUAAAGAAUUGAGGUCAGGUUAAUGUGCAGGUUAUAAUUAAGUUAAAAUGUAUUACAAUAAAUUUAUUUAUUGAUUUUUAAUUGUAUUUAAGAUGAAAUUGGAUUUAAAAGUAAUUUUAUUUUUAGUAUAAAAAAUUGAAUUUUUGNAAAUAGAUAUGUACACAUCGCCC
Molecule: ribosomal RNA, 354 nt
Filed under: Asiopsocus sonorensis
Lineage: Eukaryota; Metazoa; Arthropoda; Insecta; Psocodea; Asiopsocidae
Description: partial 12S rRNA
Source: RNAcentral